Molecule: ribosomal RNA, 464 nt
Filed under: Vreelandella stevensii
Lineage: Bacteria; Pseudomonadati; Pseudomonadota; Gammaproteobacteria; Oceanospirillales; Halomonadaceae
Description: partial 16S ribosomal RNA
Rfam family: Bacterial small subunit ribosomal RNA
Source: RNAcentral
CUACGGGGGGCUGCAGUGGGGAAUAUUGGACAAUGGGCGAAAGCCUGAUCCAGCCAUGCCGCGUGUGUGAAGAAGGCCUUCGGGUUGUAAAGCACUUUCAGUGGGGAAGAAAGCCUUGGGGCUAAUACCCUCGAGGAAGGACAUCACCCACAGAAGAAGCACCGGCUAACUCCGUGCCAGCAGCCGCGGUAAUACGGAGGGUGCGAGCGUUAAUCGGAAUUACUGGGCGUAAAGCGCGCGUAGGCGGUCUGAUAAGCCGGUUGUGAAAGCCCCGGGCUCAACCUGGGAACGGCAUCCGGAACUGUCAGGCUAGAGUGCAGGAGAGGAAGGUAGAAUUCCCGGUGUAGCGGUGAAAUGCGUAGAGAUCGGGAGGAAUACCAGUGGCGAAGGCGGCCUUCUGGACUGACACUGACGCUGAGGUGCGAAAGCGUGGGUAGCAAACAGGAUUAGAUACCCGUGUAGUC